UUUCCGUAGGUGAACCUGCGGAAGGAUCAUUCAUAAUAAGUGUUUUAUGGCACUUUUUUAAAUCCAUAUCCACCUUGUGUGCAAUGUCAGGGUUGAUUUUUCUCUCGAGAGGAUCGGCCCCAAACAUCAACUAUAUCUCAACUCUUUGUCUGUAAAAUAUUAUGAAUAAAACAAUCCAAAAUACAACUUUCGACAACGGAUCUCUUGGCUCUC
RNAcentral lists this unclassified non-coding RNA (213 nucleotides) under plant metagenome. RNAcentral describes it as "partial contains small subunit ribosomal RNA, internal transcribed spacer 1, and 5.8S ribosomal RNA". The record is from RNAcentral.